This is a non-coding RNA of Punica granatum (pomegranate), 1205 nucleotides long. The record is from RefSeq and is a predicted model, not a curated record. Lineage: Eukaryota; Viridiplantae; Streptophyta; Magnoliopsida; Myrtales; Lythraceae.
AUCCGUCUGCCUGCCUGCCUGCCUGCCGGUCUCCUCUUUGCCUCUCUGCUCUCUUCUCCUCCUGAAGUAUCGCUCUGGCCCUUCUUCGUCUCUCUGUCUCUGCUGCCGAUUCUGAGCAUUGACUGCUUCCGUCAGCCUCCGCCUCCGCCUCCGCUCUCUCUCCUUCCCUACUCUCACUCCCAGCGAUCGGUAACCCGCAACCCUAACUUCUCCGCCGGCCCCUGCAGCCGCUUUUCUAUUGCUUUGCCCGAAUCGAAACAGGGACCAACGAGGAGUCAUCUUCUAGCAUCAGCAAGGGAUUGCUGACACCUUGUAAUUGGAGGGGGGGAGUCUACUUCGGUGUUCAAAUGCCAAAUCCUCCAGUCCAUGACCGAGCUUCCACAACAACUGCGAGGCCAUCUACCUUCUCAAUUGCGCCACAUGUUGAGCUGAGCCCCGAGGAGAUGUUCAGACAGAUCAUGGACAGCAUGUCACGACUACAUGAUAAAAUGGACAACAUGCUGCUGAGGCUGACGCACAUUGAGAGGAACAUAGAUAACACUCAGCGAGAGGUGAGCCACUUGAGGACUGCUGUCGAGAGCUUAAAUGGGCAAAGUAAUAACCAGAAUCUGCCAUCUGAUACAUUUCCACGGAGGUCGUGAGCUCAUCGGGGUCCUUUGUUUCUUCUGCGGGUUAGGUUGUUUCUGCAGCUAGGUUUUUCUGUGAGGACCUCUGCAUGUACUUAGCUGCCUCGAAUUAGAUAACUGGUAUUCGAUGCUUCUGUUCGGUAGCUUCCAAUUUGUGUUCUUCUGAUCUCGAACCCGUUUGUUGAGUUGUACAGUGAAAGGGAUGAGAGCCAGCGGAGGACCUUGAUCGGCUGUUGAAACUGUCUCGUUUUAACCUCGCUUAAGUAAUUAGAUUCUUUCUCUUUAACCGUUGAAUGCGGAUUUGUUUAAUAUUACAACUCAAAAGAAGGUUGUUUACUUUAUGACUUGCUCGAGCCUUUGACCGUAAUCAAAGGCGAAAUGUCGACCUUCCUUGGCUGCUGGAAAUAUUGACGUCGCGGAAUUGCCUUUUGAAGGGGUCAAUUCACUGGUUGAGGAAAUGUGUAGGUACGGACUGAAUAUUGGGAAGGCUGGAAGCAUUAUUUGUAUUUUGAGCUUUUUCUUGCUUUGACUUGGUAGUGAAUGGUUUUUAUUCAAAUAACAUCAAUCCUUUCUGAGUUU